GCCGAUGUGGCUCAAUGGUAGAGCAACGGUUUUGUAAACCGUAGGUUGGGGGUUCGAUUCCCUUCAUCGGCACCA
RNAcentral lists this transfer RNA (75 nucleotides) under Candidatus Gastranaerophilus sp. (ex Termes propinquus). RNAcentral's name for it is "tRNA-Thr". It matches the Rfam family "tRNA". From Rfam's summary of the family: Transfer RNA (tRNA) molecules are approximately 80 nucleotides in length. Their secondary structure includes four short double-helical elements and three loops (D, anti-codon, and T loops). Further hydrogen bonds mediate the characteristic L-shaped molecular structure. tRNAs have two regions of fundamental functional importance: the anti-codon, which is responsible for specific mRNA codon recognition, and the 3' end, to which the tRNAs corresponding amino acid is attached (by aminoacyl-tRNA synthetases). tRNAs cope with the degeneracy of the genetic code in two manners: having more than one tRNA (with a specific anti-codon) for a particular amino acid; and 'wobble' base-pairing, i.e. permitting non-standard base-pairing at the 3rd anti-codon position. Lineage: Bacteria; Bacillati; Candidatus Melainabacteria; Candidatus Gastranaerophilales; Candidatus Gastranaerophilaceae. The record is from RNAcentral.